Molecule: ribosomal RNA, 410 nt
Filed under: uncultured bacterium
Lineage: Bacteria
Description: bacterial SSU rRNA
Rfam family: Bacterial small subunit ribosomal RNA
Source: RNAcentral
CGGGAAUAUUGCGCAAUGGGGGGAACCCUGACGCAGCGACGCCGCGUGAGCGAUGAAGGCCUUCGGGUCGUAAAGCUCUGUCCUUGGGGAAGAAGGUCUUCGGACUUGACGGUACCCAAGAAGAAAGCCCCGGCUAACUACGUGCCAGCAGCCGCGGUAAUACGUAGGGGGCGAGCGUUGUCCGGAAUUACUGGGCGUAAAGGGUGCGUAGGCGGCCCUUUAAGUCAGAUGUGAAAGCCCGCAGCUUAACUGCGGAAUUGCAUUUGAAACUGGAGGGCUUGAGUGUCGGAGAGGGUAGUGGAAUUCCCAGUGUAGCGGUGAAAUGCGUAGAUAUUGGGGGGAACACCAGUGGCGAAGGCGACUGCCUGGACGAUAACUGACGCUGAGGCACGAAAGCUAGGGGAGCAAAC